GACCUGAUCGCACAACGGCUAGUGCACCUGUAUAUCGUUGGUUUUGCUGCAUACCGUUCUGCAGAAGAUCCCCGUUCGACUCGGGGUCAGGUCA
Mycena latifolia is the source of this 94-nucleotide non-coding RNA. The record is from the annotation of a GenBank genome assembly. NCBI's taxonomy places the organism in Eukaryota, Fungi, Basidiomycota, Agaricomycetes, Agaricales, Mycenaceae.